UACGUAGGGGGCAAGCGUUGUCCGGAAUUAUUGGGCGUAAAGAGCUCGUAGGCGGUCUGUCGCGUCGAAUGUGAAAACCCGGGGCUCAACCUCGGGCCUGCAUUCGAUACGGGCAGACUAGAGUUCGGUAGGGGAGUCUGGAAUUCCUGGUGUAGCGGUGAAAUGCGCAGAUAUCAGGAGGAACACCGGUGGCGAAGGCGGGACUCUGGGCCGAUACUGACGCUGAGGAGCGAAAGCGUGGGGAGCAAACAGG
RNAcentral lists this ribosomal RNA (253 nucleotides) under uncultured bacterium. RNAcentral describes it as "partial 16S ribosomal RNA". It matches the Rfam family "Bacterial small subunit ribosomal RNA", at positions 524 to 776 of the family's 1533-position model. The record is from RNAcentral.